RNAcentral lists this transfer RNA (74 nucleotides) under Butyrivibrio fibrisolvens DSM 3071. RNAcentral's name for it is "tRNA_Pseudo_CAT". It matches the Rfam family "tRNA". Rfam says of the family: Transfer RNA (tRNA) molecules are approximately 80 nucleotides in length. Lineage: Bacteria; Bacillati; Bacillota; Clostridia; Lachnospirales; Lachnospiraceae. The record is from RNAcentral.
GCUGUUGUAGCUCAGUAGUGCAGAGCAUCUGCUUCAUACGUAGAGGGUCACCGGUUCGAGUCCGGUUUCAGGUA